UNUGCUGUGAAAGGCUGGGGCUUAACCCUGGUUUUGCAGUGGGUACGGGCUAACUAGAGUGCAGUAGGGGAGACUGGAAUUCCUGGUGUAGCGGUGGAAUGCGCAGAUAUCAGGAGGAACACCGAUGGCGAGGGCAGGUCUCUGGGCUGUAACUGACGCUGAGAAGCGAAAGCAUGGGGAGCGAACAGGAUUAGAUACCCUGGUAGUCCAUGCCGUAAACGUUGGGCACUAGGUGUGGGGGACAUUCCACGUUUUCCGCGCCGUAGCUAACGCAUUAAGUGCCCCGCCUGGGGAGUACGGCCGCAAGGCUAAAACUCAAAGAAAUUGACGGGGGCCCGCACAAGCGGCGGAGCAUGCGGAUUAAUUCGAUGCAACGCGAAGAACCUUACCAAGGCUUGACAUAUACUGGACUGCGUCAGAGAUGGCGUUUCCCUUCGGGGCUGGUAUACAGGUGGUGCAAGGUUGUCGUCAGCUCGUGUCGUGAGAUGUUGGGUUAAGUCCCGCAACGAGCGCAACCCUCGUUCUAUGUUGCCAGCACGUGAUGGUGGGGACUCAUAGGAGACUGCCGGGGUUAACUCGGAGGAAGGUGGGGAUGACGUCAAAUCAUCAUGCCCCUUAUGUCUUGGGCUUCACGCAUGCUACAAUGGCCGGUACAGAGGGUUGCGAUACUGUGAGGUGGAGCUAAUCCCUAAAAGCCGGUCUCAGUUCGGAUUGGGGUCUGCAACUCGACCCCAUGAAGUCGGAGUCGCUAGUAAUCGCAGAUCAGCAACGCUGCGGUGAAUACGUUCUCGGGCCUUGUACACACCGCCCGUCAAGUCACGAAAGUUGGUAACACCCGAAGCCGGUG
RNAcentral lists this ribosomal RNA (847 nucleotides) under uncultured bacterium. RNAcentral describes it as "bacterial SSU rRNA". It matches the Rfam family "Bacterial small subunit ribosomal RNA", at positions 588 to 1432 of the family's 1533-position model. The record is from RNAcentral.